Long non-coding RNA from Grus americana (Whooping crane), 421 nucleotides. RefSeq lists it as uncharacterized. The record is from RefSeq and is a predicted model, not a curated record. NCBI's taxonomy places the organism in Eukaryota, Metazoa, Chordata, Aves, Gruiformes, Gruidae. The transcript is spliced from 4 exons.
GUUCCUGACUUUAUUGAAGAUGGAACCUUGUUUUUUCACCAGUUUUUCUGUAUACUGUUUUCUCCAUAGCUGAUGGGAGGUACAACAGUCAUGAGAGAGGCAGUGUAAACCACCUGGCCCUCUGCAUCACAGUGUGCAGGCCUGAACGUCAGAAGAGUCUCGUCUGGUAAAGCAUGAGGUGCAAAUCAAUGUGCGAAGCAGGAUAUCCACACCAGAAUGGACUUAAGCAAGGUGGGGGUCAGGCCUCGGCACGGCAAACCGAAGAAUCUGACUCUGAGCGGCCGAGGUAAAGGGGCAGGAGAGAGGAAGAUGUUUCCGAGGAGGGCAUCAUCGCGGCGGAGGUCGACGCCAGCUGACGUGUCGGUGACCAGCGAUGAAGAGGAAUGCGGUGGAUAGGGGAGCCUCCCGGUUAGGUGACGUG